Gallus gallus (chicken) is the source of this 434-nucleotide long non-coding RNA. Lineage: Eukaryota; Metazoa; Chordata; Aves; Galliformes; Phasianidae. The record is from Ensembl.
GUAAAGAAUGAUAGCUGGAAAGUGAGGUUUCCAUAUUCAGAAAGAAAUAUCUCGUGUCCUCGUAUUGCAGAUUUUUUUUUUCCCUUUUUCAAUAACCUCUUCACAUCUUCUUCACCUUUAUCUUACAGGUUUUCAGCGGUUGUGUGAAAAUCAGCUCAGAACCUGUUUGUUUCUUCCUGUGGGUGCUCUCAGUGUUUCAAGCCCAGGGCCUCCAAGGAGUGGCAAGGCAAUGCCAGAGCGAUGAAGGCUUGUGAUUCAACCUGCCGGUGUGUGAAAGAUCCAAAGAGAUGAAAAAUGUUUCUUCCUUUCAGCAGAUAAUAGGAAUCAGUAACAGUUGAAAUGCACUGGUCUGUGGCUUCCUGGUGGGAAACAAGAUGAGUCGCCAGUGACUAAAACCGAUAACUACAUUGUUCCCAAGCUUAGGAUAAAGAAGG